CCUACGGGUGGCAGCAGUGAGGAAUAUUGGUCAAUGGGCGGAAGCCUGAACCAGCCAAGUCGCGUGAGGGAUUAAGGCCCUGCGGGUCGUAAACCUCUUUUGCCGGGGAGCAGUGGUCCGGACGCGUCCGGACCGGGAGAGUACCCGGAGAAAAAGCAUCGGCUAACUCCGUGCCAGCAGCCGCGGUAAUACGGAGGAUGCGAGCGUUAUCCGGAUUUAUUGGGUUUAAAGGGUGCGUAGGCGGACUGUUAAGUCAGCGGUAAAAGCCCGGGGCUCAACCCCGGCGAGCCGUUGAAACUGGCUGUCUUGAGAUGGCGAGAGGUAUGCGGAAUGCGCAGUGUAGCGGUGAAAUGCUUAGAUAUUGCGCAGAACUCCGAUUGCGAAGGCAGCCUACUAAACUGCCACUGACAUUGAUGCUCGAAAGUGUGGGUAUCAAACAGGAUUAGAUACCCCUGUAGUC
This 460-nucleotide ribosomal RNA is filed under the name uncultured bacterium. RNAcentral describes it as "partial 16S ribosomal RNA". It matches the Rfam family "Bacterial small subunit ribosomal RNA", at positions 338 to 795 of the family's 1533-position model. The record is from RNAcentral.